AACAUUGUUUUACCAGCAUUGAAAGUUAUGGAGAUACGGCCCUAUUCUAGCAAACAUCUGCCAGUCUUAGAAGAAAAUGGAGGUGUGUCACAUGACGACGCUCCAAACCAUCAUCAUUUGAAGUUAUGUGUCAUUUCAAUAAAUUGAUGCAACAUUGUAUAGACAGAAAUGCUGCUGGAAUCCCCACUUAUAAAUAAAAAGGGUCUUCCAGCCAUACAGAGUUCCGUGAUGUCGUUGACAUGAACCCAGGUGUGCACACGGAUGCCUGCAUGCAGAUCUCACUGUAGACACCAGAUGCAUGCAGUCAUCUGAACGGUAUGGGCUAGCUUUAAAUCUUAAGAUUUUUAUGCUUUCUUAUGCAACUCUGAAAAUUAUAGUGUUCAUUAAUUAUUUCAUUUAUAUUGGCAAAACCCAAAAAGUAGUACAUUUCCUUAGUAGUCCCAUUUCCUUAGUCCCUUUACAGAU
Molecule: long non-coding RNA, 465 nt
Organism: Meriones unguiculatus (Mongolian gerbil)
Lineage: Eukaryota; Metazoa; Chordata; Mammalia; Rodentia; Muridae
Exons: 3
Source: RefSeq, a predicted model, not a curated record